Populus euphratica (Euphrates poplar) is the source of this 1910-nucleotide long non-coding RNA. RefSeq lists it as uncharacterized. The record is from RefSeq and is a predicted model, not a curated record. NCBI's taxonomy places the organism in Eukaryota, Viridiplantae, Streptophyta, Magnoliopsida, Malpighiales, Salicaceae. The transcript has 5 exons.
AGAAAACGCAGUCUGAACCCAAAAAACAAAAAGCCCAAAGGUAAAAUCUUUCCCCUCAGCUGUCCUUAGAUUCCAAAAAUCUUCUCUUGGUCGGUGGUUCAGUCAGUCAAGAUUUGAUUUUUGGCUUCUGAUUCCAUGGGCAUCUUGAAAGAGCUUAAGGACUUGCAGAAAGAUCCACCUACCUCUUGCAGUGCUGGUCCAGUAGAUGAGGACAUGUUCCAUUGGCAAGCAACAAUUAUGGGACCUGCUGAUAGCCCAUAAGCUGGAGGUUGCAUUGAGGACAUAAAGUCUUCCACCCAAACAUUAACAGCAAUGGAAGCAUAUGUCUGGAUAUUCUAAAAGAGCAGUGGAACCCAGCACUAACCAUUUCCAAGGUUUGAUAUGACCAUUUCCCUUUUUGACUUAUCUAUUCAGCCAUUUGCUGAUGUUGAAACUCUUCUUAAUCUGUUUACUUGUUUUGUGUUCCAUGUGCAUAGAUCAAAUGUUUAGAAUGAUAGCCGAGACACCAAAAUACCUUGUUCAUUGUUAUCCAUUGUUGGUAUCAAAGCUCUAAAUCAGUUGAUAUCAAAGCUCAACUAUUCCUGGUGGUCGGUUAUUGGUUGAAUAACUAUUGCUGGAAAAGGUCGCAAAACAGGACAUGCUAGGAUCGGAUGAGGAGGUUCUCUCAGGAAAAAAAUGUUCAUGAACCUGUGAUGGAAGACAUGCAAAGAAAAAUUAUAAAAACAACUUGUUGACUGGCGGUGGUGCAGUUUCAAAGGUAAGUUGAAUAAUUAUCCCGUCAAUUAACAAAGAUGAAGAAGAAAAAACUAGAAGUUCUUGAAGAGAGUGAUCACAAAUCUAUGGUUAAUUAACUCAUUUUAGAAGCAUGAGCAAAUAAGAUAGUUUUUUUAUUGGGAUGAGUAUCAUGGAGAUUUUGAUGAGCCCAUUUAUGAUGAGAUAAAUAUGGAUUGGUAUCUUUGAUCAAUUUAUAAUGUUUAUUUUGAUAAUGAUAGCAUAAACAAUAACAAUGAUGCUGUCAUCAAUAGUGUCCUCAUUGGUAUGUUAGUGGUUAAGUGUAAAUACAACAUGGAAGGUGUUCAACCAAAAAAAAUUGUUGAUUUGAUUAAAAGUUUAUUAUUAUCACAAAUAUAGAUUUUUUUCUAGGAUUGUGAGACUACAACAUAUGUUGAGAAAACAAGUUUGAGAUUUGUUGUUCAUUACUCUAGAAGUUAGUUGAAGAGAAAUCAUUUAUCAAUCGAUGUUUCUUAUGCAAAAUUUAACUUGAAUGGAUUGAAGUUAAACAUCAAAAAUUAGUAUGCACUUGAAGCGAAGAAAGAAAAGAGGUUGAUAAACCUUGAUUGGACAUCUACGUGCCUCGAGAACGAGUUCUUUCCAAUCUGAAGAGACUGAUGUAAGGGGUUUUUAGGGGAAUAUAUUUGUUUCCUUAGUUAUUUUCAUUCUAUUUUGAUUAGAAAUCAUUUUUUUCUUAUUUAUUUUUUUCUUAUUUAGUUUAGUCCUAGGACAAUGAUAAAUAGGAUUGUUUAAUUUGUAUUUAAAAAGACUGCUUACAUAGAAUUGUAUAGCAAUACAAUUUCAAAUGAGGGUUUUUAUAUAAUGAUUCUAUUUAGCAGAAUUUUGUGUUGCUUAUAUUUGCAAUCCUUUUACUGCAGACUCAGAGUUGGGAAGAAACUGGUCUGCUAGGUCUCUGAAUAUCUACUAUUUGAAAGCGUAGAAGGGGGGAAGGGAACGUGAUGUAAUAUUGCCCUGUUGUUAGAAUUGUCAGCUUGUUUAUUUGUUAUUUAAAUACUCUCAUUAGCUGUUGAAUGCUAGGAGUGCUGAUCCUGGUAUACUUGUGCUUUUAGCAAUUUGGACAGAUACAGGCAUAACCUUCAUUAAAGCAUUAAUGUACUCAUAAUUUGCCGUUUUAUGGA